This 464-nucleotide ribosomal RNA is filed under the name Vreelandella stevensii. RNAcentral's name for it is "partial 16S ribosomal RNA". It matches the Rfam family "Bacterial small subunit ribosomal RNA", at positions 338 to 795 of the family's 1533-position model. Lineage: Bacteria; Pseudomonadati; Pseudomonadota; Gammaproteobacteria; Oceanospirillales; Halomonadaceae. The record is from RNAcentral.
CCUACGGGUGGCAGCAGUGGGGAAUAUUGGACAAUGGGGGCAACCCUGAUCCAGCCAUGCCGCGUGUGUGAAGAAGGCCCUCGGGUUGUAAAGCACUUUCAGUGAGGAAGAACGCCUGGUGGUUAAUACCCAUCAGGAAAGACAUCACUCACAGAAGAAGCACCGGCUAACUCCGUGCCAGCAGCCGCGGUAAUACGGAGGGUGCGAGCGGUAAUCGGAAUUACUGGGCGUAAAGCGCGCGUAGGUGCUUGAUAAGCCGGUUGUGAAAGCCCCGGGCUCAACCUGGGAACGGCAUCCGGAACUGUCAAGCUAGAGUGCAGGAGAGGAAGGUAGAAUUCCCGGUGUAGCGGUGAAAUGCGUAGAGAUCGGGAGGAAUACCAGUGGCGAAGGCGGCCUUCUGGACUGACACUGACACUGAGGUGCGAAAGCGUGGGUAGCAAACAGGAUUAGAUACCCUAGUAGUC